AUUCUUGUAGUUGAAUAAACAACGAUAGUUUUUCAAGUUAUUGGUCUUGGUUAGAAUCCAGGCGGGAAUA
This 70-nucleotide transfer RNA is filed under the name Squalus cubensis. Its description in RNAcentral is "tRNA-Glu". It matches the Rfam family "tRNA". From Rfam's summary of the family: Transfer RNA (tRNA) molecules are approximately 80 nucleotides in length. Their secondary structure includes four short double-helical elements and three loops (D, anti-codon, and T loops). The record is from RNAcentral. Lineage: Eukaryota; Metazoa; Chordata; Chondrichthyes; Squaliformes; Squalidae. RNAcentral also lists the same sequence under 3 other names.